Molecule: ribosomal RNA, 890 nt
Filed under: uncultured archaeon
Lineage: Archaea
Description: bacterial SSU rRNA
Rfam family: Archaeal small subunit ribosomal RNA
Source: RNAcentral
CUGACUGCUAUCGGAUUGGUACUAAGCCAUGCGAGUCAUUGUAGCAAUACAAGGCAGACGGCUCAGUAACGCGUAGUCAAUCUACCCUAUGGACGGGAAUAACCUCGGGAAACUGAGAAUAAUGCCCGAUAGAACAUUAUGCCUGGAAUGGUUUAUGUUUCAAAUGAUUUAUCGCCAUAGGAUGGGACUGCGGCCUAUCAGUUUGUUGGUGAGGUAAUGGCCCACCAAGACUAUUACAGGUACGGGCUCUGAGAGGAGUAGCCCGGAGAUGGGUACUGAGACACGGACCCAGGCCCUAUGGGGCGCAGCAGGCGAGAAAACUUUGCAAUGUGCGAAAGCACGACAAGGUUAAUCCGAGUGGUUUCUGCUAAAGAAACCUUUUGUCAGUCCUAGAAACACUAACGAAUAAGGGGUGGGCAAGUUCUGGUGUCAGCCGCCGCGGUAAAACCAGCACCUCAAGUGGUCAGGAUGAUUAUUGGGCCUAAAGCAUCCGUAGCUCGUUUUGUAAGUUUUCGGUUAAAUCCAUGCGCUUAACGUAUGGGCUGCCGGGAAUACUGCAUAACUAGGAAGUGGGAGAGGUAGACGGUACUCGGGAGGAAGGGGUAAAAUCCUUUGAUCUCUUGAUGACCACCUGUGGCGAAGGCGGUCUACCAGAACACGUUCGACGGUGAGGGAUGAAAGCUGGGGGAGCAAACCGGAUUAGAUACCCGGGUAGUCCCAGCUGUAAACUAUGCAAACUCAGUGAUGCAUUGGCUUAUGGCCAAUGCAGUGCUGCAGGGAAGCCGUUAAGUUUGCCGCCUGGGAAGUACGUACGCAAGUAUGAAACUUAAAGGAAUUGGCGGGGGAGCACCACAAGGGGUGAAGCCUGCGGUUCAAUUGGAGUCAACGCC